Ictidomys tridecemlineatus (thirteen-lined ground squirrel) is the source of this 1131-nucleotide non-coding RNA. NCBI's taxonomy places the organism in Eukaryota, Metazoa, Chordata, Mammalia, Rodentia, Sciuridae. The record is from RefSeq and is a predicted model, not a curated record.
UAUUAGUUGAAAAUGCCCCUGUAUCUGAAGAAUAAAAAAUAUCCCUGAAAUACAAAAUAUGCAUGAUGCCUUAGGUGAUGUUGGAGAAAUGCUGUAAUGGGAAGGGCGGGUAAUAAAUGAAAAGGCUUGUGCAGAAACCUACUCUCAGGAGACGCAGAGUUAGUUGACAUUCCUGAGCAGUUUGGUCUUUUCCCUAGGGCUGACUUCAGAGCAACCUGUGGAACUGCUGGAUUCUAUCCCCACUUGGACUCUUCCUUUUGAACAGCUAGUGAUUGACAAAGAGGUGGUUGGUUUCUGGAUGUCUGCGGCAUGCACGCAGUGAAAUCAAGAAAAGAUUAUCCUCCACAAGCGCUGGAGCUGCAGCAUAAGUUCUAUAUCAAGAGAGGAAGAGCCAGGGCCAAGCACCACUGGGCAGGAGCUGGGCCUCAGGGCAUAUUCCCUGGGGAGCCUGGUGGGAGACCCUGGAGCUUGCCUUCCUCUAUGAUUCAUCCUCUUUGGCCUCCACCAUCGAGUUCCUCCACCCAACAGGAGAUGGACCUAAUAUUGGGAAGGUAGGCCCUGCCCAGGGUGACAGGGUCACAUAAAGCUAAGUCCUGGAACUGAACCUCUCUGUGCUUCAGCCUGCUUCUCUGAACAGUGAGGUGCCAAUAAAACCAACAUCAUGGUAAGAAAAGCCAGGCCUCUCAUACUGCUUCCCUCCCUUACUUUUUGGGUGGUACCCUCACUCCUUGACUUGCCUCACUAUCCACUUGGUAGUAUCCACAGCCAAGUCACUAUGACAGGGCCCAACAUGGAGGACCAAGGCCACCAGGCCCAGCAUUGAGAGAAAAACCUGGAGUCCACGGAGGAUCAGCAGAAGCUGCAGGGCAACCUCUGCUGCUUGUGGAAACUCCAGCUCAAGUUUCACCACGUCCACUACCUGAGAGAGAGCUGGUGCUAAAACACCUGCAAUGGCACCUCCAGACCAACAAGCCCUGCUGACCCCUCAGCCAGCACCACUUACUGAGACCAACCCAGAGUCUCCCUUCCUCUCCCCUGCCAUUUAUUUAUUCCUUAUUUUUAUUUUCUGUGUUUAUGUUUCUAGUAUAAUUAGCUUCUUUUAAAAUUAAAGAUUUUAUUCAUUUUUUAAAA